RNAcentral lists this unclassified non-coding RNA (3403 nucleotides) under Hevea brasiliensis (rubber tree). The record is from RNAcentral. Lineage: Eukaryota; Viridiplantae; Streptophyta; Magnoliopsida; Malpighiales; Euphorbiaceae.
AAAUGGAAAUGGAAUGAUUCAUAGGCAUCUCUAUCAAAGUUUCUGUCUUUUGUUUUUUCUCUUAUUUUAUUCUAGGGUUUGAAAAUUAGAUUCGAUCGUAUCGCUUCCUUUCUCGAUCUUAACCCCAUUCGCCAUCAUUACCAUCAUUAUUAUUUUAAGUUCUUCCUUUAAUUUGUAUUAUUCAUUUUAGCAUUCUCUUUAGGUUUCGAUUAUUUGUAACCAAGUUCACGCCCAUUUUUCAUUAGAUUUUCAUAUUCCUAAUUUGGGAGCUAAGACUCGCUUCUUCGAUUGGUUUCUAGGGUUUCUAGCGGUACAAUUUUGUGUGUAGUGAAUGAACUGAAGGAGCUUACUUGGAAGGGAUUUUUGGGAAAUUAUUUAUAAAAUUGGGGAGAAAUAAUGUUUGUACCGGGUAUGGAUUCUGCCAGAGAAGCUGGUGGUGGAGUUGCGGGCACAGUAUUAAUGCGGUUUGUGUGGCCUCACGGGGGUCGAAGUGUAUUUCUGAGCGGUAGUUUUGAUAGAUGGACUAGGCUCGUGCCUAUGUUGCCCAUGGAAGGUAGCCCUGCAGUAUUUCAGGCCAUUUGCAGUAUAACACCCGGUUAUCACCAGUAUAAAUUUUUGGUUGAUGGAGAAUGGAAGCAUGACGAGUGCCAACCUUGCUCAACAAGUGAAUAUGGGGUAGUGAACACUGUCCUGUUCACUGGGGAAGCCAAUUACAAUCCGAUCAUAGGUCCAGAGAUGGCAUUGGGAUCUGGCAGGGAAAUGGAUAAUGAGACCUUUAGACGUGUGGUCCAUGUAUCAGAUAGUACAACAAGUGACAUGUCACCAAGGAUAUCAGAGGCUGACUUACAGGUGUCUCGUCACCACAUUUCUGUAUUUUUGUCAACUCACACCACAUACAAGUUACUUCCCAAGUCAGGCAAGGUUGUUGCUUUGGAUAUUGAUUUGCCAGUAAAGCAAGCAUUUCAUAUUUUGUAUGAGCAGGGAAUUCCUGUGGCUCCUCUUUGGGACUUCAGCAAGGGCCAGUUUGUUGGAGUGCUUAGUGCAUUGGAUUUCAUUUUAAUUUUGAGAGAGCUUGGAAAUCAUGGAUCAAAUUUGACAGAGGAAGAGCUUGAUACACACACCAUAUCUGCCUGGAAAGAGGGAAAAGCUUAUCUGAAUAGACAAAUUGAUGGGCAUGGGAGGGCAUUUUCUAGACGUCUCAUCCAUGCUGGGCCAUAUGAUAAUUUGAAAGAGGUUGCUUUGAGAAUAUUGCAAAAAGAGGUGGCGACAAUUCCCAUUAUCCAUUCAUCUUCAGAAGAUGGUUCAUUUCCGCAGCUACUGCAUCUUGCUUCACUUUCUGGAAUACUUAAAUGUAUUUGCAGAUAUUUUAGACAUUGUUCUGGCACCUUGCCUAUACUUCAACUGCCAAUUUGUGCAAUUCCAGUGGGUACAUGGGUUCCAAAGAUCGGAGAAUCUAAUAGACGCCCUUUGGCAAUGUUGAGACCAAGCGCUUCACUUGGUUCAGCUUUAAACCUGUUGAUUCAAGGUAUGCUUCUUGUUUCUAUCAAGUUCAUGAAAAGGAAAAUUGAUUAUCCAGGGAGAAGCGGGUGUUUCAUGAUAAAGAUGAAGUUGAUUUUUAAUGAUAAUGAGUCGUAACUUUUUCUAGUAAGCACCUUGAAGUUCUUUUGCCAAUAUCAAGAAUUGACUAAUUAUGAUGGUAAGCUUUCAUACCGCAUGCAUUGGAGGUUGCACGUUGGUAAGUGGGUGUUAGGCUUCUAAGGUCACAAUAAGCCUUGUGUUGUUACAAAAGUGAAAAUUGUGCAAAACUUUCUGCUAGGACCUUUUUCUGUGUCUCAUUAAUGGUCAAUGGUGGAGGCAAGUUGGUUAGAUACAACAUAUGACCUGUCCCUUUUCCUUGGCAAAUUGCAAUCAUUAGAUGUGGUAUCAGUUUGCUUGUGGUUUCUAAGCAUUAGGGGGGAAGUUCUUAGCUGUAGCUUUAACAAGCAGUUUGGGAUUUUAUUGAGGUUCAUCAGCAAAAUAGCACACAAGAUUGAUGACCGAAUAAGUGUGGGCUGUGUGGCAUAUCUGGAAUUUAUAUCAAAUGUAUAAAUGCUCCAACAGAUCUGGAACUAUGAAAUCACAUGCUUUAAUAAGAUGAGAGUUCUGUAAUUUUCAUUUUCAUUUCACCUACCAUUUUAUUGUUCACACUCUCCUUGGUCCAGCUACUAGCGAACGAAAUUUUGCGUAGGUACCAUCGUACCUCAUCUAAGCAGGAUUUGGUCUUAGGUUAUUGGUAUGGUGCUGAGAGACUUUACUACUCAGCUAGUUUCCUUAGAUGUUUAGUUUAGUGAACAGUACUACACAUAUCAUUGUGUCAAGGAUUGGCCUCUUAUGGUAUCAUCAGUAAUAAUAUGCCUACUGCCACUCUUCAUUUUAUGUGAAUCCUUAUUCCAAUGUAUUUCCUUGUAUUUGCAGCUCAAGUAAGUUCAAUACCUAUAGUUGACGAUAACGACUCGUUACUAGAUAUAUAUUGUCGGAGGUAAGUAGUUCUUCUGGGUAUAAUGCGACUGUUUCAGAUCUCAUUUUUGAACAAUUUUCAGAUUUUGAAGAGAAAUGUUGUUGUUUGAACAGUGAUAUAACUGCUUUGGCAAAAGAUAGAGUUUAUACACAUAUCAAUAUUAAUGAAAUGACUGUUCAUCAGGUACUGAUCCUUCUUCCCCUCUUACUUUUCAUUCCCUUGAAGAUGUUCACCUUGCCAGUUCAUAUUUGUUAAUUGAAAGCAAUAACUUAAAUUUGUAGAACAACUCGUUGGCUUUUUGCGCAAUGUGGAUUUUAUUUAGUUUAAUUGAGCUGAAUGGCAAUACCCUUUAGAGUCUCUAGAUUUGAAAGAUUUUAGGUCAGCAUCAGCAGGUACCCACCUUAGAGUAUGAGCAGUCUUCCAACAGGAACAAGGACCUUAGGUUUUACAAGGACCUUAGGUUUUACAAGAAGCGAUUUUACUGGGGAAUUCUUGAAUUUCAGAUUGCAAACUUAAACAUGGGAGAGCGCAUGAAAAAACCUUAGAAUGCAACUACUGGUUGGACAUUGUGAAUCAGUAUCACUUCAUAGACAUGGCAUCAAGAUUUAAUUCCAAUGUUUGAAUCUGGCUUUGUGAAUUUAUUUGAAUUAUUAAGCAUUGUUUAUGAUGAAUUUUUUUAUGCUAUCAUAUUUAAAAAUGCAGUUUAAAAUUGGGAAUGUGCUUGGCAUCGUGCUGAUAUUGGGGCAUAUGUUUAUUACUGUUAUUAUUUCAAUUGAUUAGGCUUUGCAAUUGGGACAAGACUCCUAUUCUCCAAAUGAGAGACUAAAUCAAAGAUUUCAGAUGUGUUUGCGUUCUGAUACAUUGCAUAAAGUGAUGGAACGGUUGGCAAACCCAGGUGUUAGACGG